GGGGCUGUAGCUUAAUGGUAAAGCGCUUCUCUCUUUAAGAGAAGAGAUGAUGGUUCGAUUCCGUCCUGCUCCA
RNAcentral lists this transfer RNA (73 nucleotides) under Colletotrichum orbiculare MAFF 240422. RNAcentral's name for it is "tRNA-Lys (TTT) (tRNA-Lys-TTT-3-1)". It matches the Rfam family "tRNA". Rfam says of the family: Transfer RNA (tRNA) molecules are approximately 80 nucleotides in length. Lineage: Eukaryota; Fungi; Ascomycota; Sordariomycetes; Glomerellales; Glomerellaceae. The record is from RNAcentral.